Molecule: ribosomal RNA, 510 nt
Filed under: Paenibacillus xylanexedens
Lineage: Bacteria; Bacillati; Bacillota; Bacilli; Caryophanales; Paenibacillaceae
Description: bacterial SSU rRNA
Rfam family: Bacterial small subunit ribosomal RNA
Source: RNAcentral
GCUCAGGACGAACGCUGGCGGCAUGCCUAAUACAUGCAAGUCGAGCGGACUUGAUGAGAAGCUUGCUUCNNNGAUAGUUAGCGGCGGACGGGUGAGUAACACGUAGGCAACCUGCCCUCAAGUUUGGGACAACUACCGGAAACGGUAGCUAAUACCGAAUAGUUGUUUUCUUCGCCUGAAGGAAACUGGAAAGACGGAGCAAUCUGUCACUUGGGGAUGGGCCUGCGGCGCAUUAGCUAGUUGGUGGGGUAACGGCUCACCAAGGCGACGAUGCGUAGCCGACCUGAGAGGGUGAUCGGCCACACUGGGACUGAGACACGGCCCAGACUCCUACGGGAGGCAGCAGUAGGGAAUCUUCCGCAAUGGGCGAAAGCCUGACGGAGCAAUGCCGCGUGAGUGAUGAAGGUUUUCGGAUCGUAAAGCUCUGUUGCCAGGGAAGAACGCUUGGGAGAGUAACUGCUCUCAAGGUGACGGUACCUGAGAAGAAAGCCCCGGCUAACUACGUGCCAG